Non-coding RNA from Gossypium hirsutum (cotton), 119 nucleotides. The record is from Rfam. Lineage: Eukaryota; Viridiplantae; Streptophyta; Magnoliopsida; Malvales; Malvaceae.
GGGCACGAUCAUACCAACGCUAAUGCACCGGAUCCCAUCAGAACUCCGCAGUUAAGUUUUCUUGGGCGAGGUUAGUACUAGGUUGGGAGUCCUCCAAGGAAGUCCUCGUGUUGCACCCC